GAUGAACGCUGGCGGCGUGCCUAAUACAUGCAAGUCGAGCGAACAGAUGAGGAGCUUGCUCCUCUGACGUUAGCGGCGGACGGGUGAGUAACACGUGGAUAACCUACCUAUAAGACUGGGAUAACUUCGGGAAACCGGAGCUAAUACCGGAUAAUAUAUUGAACCGCAUGGUUCAAUAGUGAAAGACGGUUUUGCUGUCACUUAUAGAUGGAUCCGCGCCGCAUUAGCUAGUUGGUAAGGUAACGGCUUACCAAGGCAACGAUGCGUAGCCGACCUGAGAGGGUGAUCGGCCACACUGGAACUGAGACACGGUCCAGACUCCUACGGGAGGCAGCAGUAGGGAAUCUUCCGCAGUGGGCGAAAGCCUGACGGAGCAACGCCGCGUGAGUGAUGAAGGUCUUCGGAUCGUAAAACUCUGUUAUUGGGGAAGAACAAAUGUGUAAGUAACUAUGCACGUCUUGACGGUACCUAAUCAGAAAGCCACGGCUAACUACGUG
This 497-nucleotide ribosomal RNA is filed under the name uncultured bacterium. RNAcentral describes it as "partial 16S ribosomal RNA". It matches the Rfam family "Bacterial small subunit ribosomal RNA", at positions 28 to 507 of the family's 1533-position model. The record is from RNAcentral.